AUGCCGCAGCGCCCCGCGCCUAUACCCGACGAAAAGGCCCACGUCGCCCUAUCUCGUCGGGGGGAGAUUAAGCCCUGCCGCAGCCGACGCCGGUCGGGCUUCGCCUGGCCGUGCCCCCUGGCGGCGGCGAGGGAGGAGGGGAAACUUGCGAUGGGGAUCUAUAAGCCCUCCUCGGCCGCCCCGCGGGUGGCGGCAGUCAGGUUCUGUCACUCCGAGCUUGGGCGAAAGGCCACUAUGUAUGUAUCGUCUUCCAUGUUGUUCUACUGCUUGGUCCAGUUUCUUCAACUCUCUAAACUGGUGGUGAUGCCGAUGUUGCUUCAGCGAUUUAUGAAUCUCUUCUCAAGGUGUCGGUGGUUAUUGCGGUCUUUAAAUCCUGUUGAUCUAAGAUGUCCUUUGACGAGAUUCUGGGAGUCAUCUUGGGUGGAGGGGAUGAGGCCCAAAGACAUUGCACCAAAAAAAUUCGAGAUCUCGUGGAAAAAGGGGACCACGGUGGACAAGGCUUUGAGGGAUAAUGCUUGGGUUAAUCACAUCGAUACCCAGCAUGGGAUGACGCUUGCUCACAUUCAACAAUUUGCCACUCUAUGGGAAAAGCUAGCCAAUGUCAACAUACAACCUGGAGUUCGUGAUUCUAUCAUCUGGAAGCUCACUAAUGACGGGACUUACACUGCAUCGUCGGCUUACAAGACCCAAUUCGCUAGACAUCUACGCUCACCCUUGCAGGAUAUGGUUCGGAAGGUUUGGUCACCCUCCAAAUGCAAUUUUUUUGCUUGGUUGGUCACUCAAAACAGGAUUUGGACAGCGGAUAGACUUCAGCGUAGAGGAUGGCCCAAUUGCGAUCAAUACCCUCUUUGUAGCCAAGUGCAGGAAUCGGCGGCCCACCUCCUUUUCAAGUGCCGGUUCGCAACUCGCAUAUGGAAGGAGGUGUUCUCAUGGCUGGAUCUUCAAGUUGACACAAAGAAUUGGCAUAUUUUCACCACGGUUAAAGCUUGGUGA
This 993-nucleotide ribosomal RNA is filed under the name Triticum aestivum (bread wheat). Its description in RNAcentral is "partial small subunit ribosomal RNA". The record is from RNAcentral. Lineage: Eukaryota; Viridiplantae; Streptophyta; Magnoliopsida; Poales; Poaceae.